Molecule: small nuclear RNA, 140 nt
Filed under: Crocodylus porosus (Australian saltwater crocodile)
Lineage: Eukaryota; Metazoa; Chordata; Crocodylia; Crocodylidae
Description: U4 spliceosomal RNA (ENSCPRG00005010326.1)
Rfam family: U4 spliceosomal RNA
About the family: U4 small nuclear RNA (U4 snRNA) is a component of the major U2-dependent spliceosome. The structure of U4 snRNA from yeast and human has been reported.
Source: Rfam by way of RNAcentral
AGCUUUGCGCAGUGGCAGUAUGGUAGUCAGUAAGGUCAGUCUGAGGCACAAUUAUUGCUAAUUGAAAUCUUUUCUCUCUGUCUCUAUUGUACAUACACCUUCUACUGCCCUCUAUAAAUACAUCAACUCAGUUUUAUCUG